CUGUCUCUUCAACAGUGUUUGGACAGAACAG
Myotis lucifugus (little brown bat) is the source of this 31-nucleotide regulatory RNA element. It matches the Rfam family "Iron response element I". The record is from Rfam. Lineage: Eukaryota; Metazoa; Chordata; Mammalia; Chiroptera; Vespertilionidae.